Molecule: ribosomal RNA, 503 nt
Filed under: uncultured bacterium
Lineage: Bacteria
Description: partial 16S ribosomal RNA
Rfam family: Bacterial small subunit ribosomal RNA
Source: RNAcentral
AUUGAACGCUGGCGGCAGGCUUAACACAUGCAAGUCGAGCGGGGUGAUGGUGCUUGCACUAUCACUUAGCGGCGGACGGGUGAGUAAUGCUUAGGAAUCUGCCUAUUAGUGGGGGACAACAUCUCGAAAGGGAUGCUAAUACCGCAUACGUCCUACGGGAGAAAGCAGGGGAUCACUUGUGACCUUGCGCUAAUAGAUGAGCCUAAGUCGGAUUAGCUAGUUGGUGGGGGAAAGGCCUACCAAGGCGACGAUCUGUAGCGGGUCUGAGAGGAUGAUCCGCCACACUGGGACUGAGACACGGCCCAGACUCCUACGGGAGGCAGCAGUGGGGAAUAUUGGACAAUGGGGGGAACCCUGAUCCAGCCAUGCCGCGUGCGUGAAGAUGGCCUUAUGGUUGUAAAGCACUUUAAGCGAGGAGGAGGCUCUUUCGGUUAAUACCCAAGAUGAGUGGACGUUACUCGCAGAAUAAGCACCGGCUAACUCUGUGCCAGCCGCCGCGGUAA